Molecule: ribosomal RNA, 885 nt
Filed under: Yersinia enterocolitica
Lineage: Bacteria; Pseudomonadati; Pseudomonadota; Gammaproteobacteria; Enterobacterales; Yersiniaceae
Description: partial 23S ribosomal RNA
Rfam family: Bacterial large subunit ribosomal RNA
Source: RNAcentral
GAGCCCAGAACCUGAAUCAGCGUAUGUGUUAGUGGAAGCGUCUGGAAAGUCGCACGGUACAGGGUGAUAGUCCCGUACACAAAAAUGCAUAUGUUGUGAGUUCGAUGAGUAGGGCGGGACACGUGACAUCCUGUCUGAAUAUGGGGGGACCAUCCUCCAAGGCUAAAUACUCCUGACUGACCGAUAGUGAACCAGUACCGUGAGGGAAAGGCGAAAAGAACCCCGGCGAGGGGAGUGAAAUAGAACCUGAAACCGUGUACGUACAAGCAGUGGGAGCACCUUCGUGGUGUGACUGCGUACCUUUUGUAUAAUGGGUCAGCGACUUAUAUUUUGUAGCAAGGUUAACCGAAUAGGGGAGCCGUAGGGAAACCGAGUCUUAACUGGGCGAAUAGUUGCAAGGUAUAGACCCGAAACCCGGUGAUCUAGCCAUGGGCAGGUUGAAGGUUGGGUAACACUAACUGGAGGACCGAACCGACUAAUGUUGAAAAAUUAGCGGAUGACUUGUGGCUGGGGGUGAAAGGCCAAUCAAACCGGGAGAUAGCUGGUUCUCCCCGAAAGCUAUUUAGGUAGCGCCUCGUGAACUCAUCUUCGGGGGUAGAGCACUGUUUCGGCUAGGGGGUCAUCCCGACUUACCAAACCGAUGCAAACUCCGAAUACCGAAGAAUGUUAUCACGGGAGACACACGGCGGGUGCUAACGUCCGUCGUGAAGAGGGAAACAACCCAGACCGCCAGCUAAGGUCCCAAAGUCAUGGUUAAGUGGGAAACGAUGUGGGAAGGCAUAGACAGCCAGGAUGUUGGCUUAGAAGCAGCCAUCAUUUAAAGAAAGCGUAAUAGCUCACUGGUCGAGUCGGCCUGCGCGGAAGAUGUAACGGGGCUAAACCAUG